GCGAUAAGUAAUGUGAAUUGCAGAAUUCAGUGAAUCAUCGAAUCUUUGAACGCACCUUGCGCUCCUUGGUAUUCCUUGGAGCAUGCCUGUUUGAGUAUCAUGAAAUCUUCAAAGUAAAUCUUUUGUUAACUCAAUUGGUUUCUACUUUGGUAUUGGAGGUCUUUGCAGCUUCACACCUGCUCCUCUUUGUUCAUUAGCUGGAUCUCAGUGUUAUGCUUGGUUCCACUCGGCGUGAUAAGUUAUCUAUCGCUGAGGACACUGUAAAAGGUGGCCAAGGUAAAUGCAGAUGAACCGCUUCUAAUAGUCCAUUGACUUGGACAAUACUUUUAUGAUCUGAUCUCAAAUCAGGUAGGACUACCCGCUGAACUUAAGC
Molecule: unclassified non-coding RNA, 373 nt
Filed under: plant metagenome
Description: partial contains 5.8S ribosomal RNA, internal transcribed spacer 2, and large subunit ribosomal RNA
Rfam family: 5.8S ribosomal RNA (bases 1-100)
Source: RNAcentral